Molecule: long non-coding RNA, 542 nt
Organism: Homarus americanus (American lobster)
Lineage: Eukaryota; Metazoa; Arthropoda; Malacostraca; Decapoda; Nephropidae
Exons: 5
Source: RefSeq, a predicted model, not a curated record
CACCACCGGCUCGCAGUAUUCAUCGAGACACAGAGGGAGGAGGUGCUGCCGGUCGUCUUUCUCACCUGACCGGUGCUGGUUUUUUGUUAAAUCAAUAAUGACGGAUCCAGUUGGUUGUUACUGUUGUGUUAAGGGCCAGUUUGCUGCCUCAGUGGUCGUCAGUACAGCAGCUCAUUUAUUGAGGAUGAUGACUUGAAGAUGGAGGAUGCAAGAAAUGAUAGUUUUCUUCUGGUGAACUCUCCCUGCACUGCACCAAAAAACGUCAGUAGGUUCUGGACCUUAUUAAGGAGAGGUGUGCACUCUGCUGUACCACUCAUCUUGUACUGCUGUACCAGGAUGGCAAGUGAUUCACAACACAACUAAAGGAAGCAAGUGCCAAGAUACAGCCCAGACCCAGCCUUCCACCCCUCCUCUCUACCUCAGAAAUGUUCUGAACACUGGAGUGCUGUGCUGCCCUAGGCUGUGCUUACUGGCCACUGCCCUGUACUUGCUGCUGCCCUAGACUUCCCUGUACUUGCUUGCUACUGCCCUGGACGGCUCUG